UGAGGAAUAUUGGUCAAUGGACGGAAGUCUGAACCAGCCAUGCCGCGUGGAGGAAGAAGGUCCUAUGGGUUGUAAACUCCUUUUGUUCCAGAGUAAUAAGAGCUUUGCGAAGCUUGAUGAGAGUAUGGGACGAAUAAGCAUCGGCUAACUCCGUGCCAGCAGCCGCGGUAAUACGGAGGAUGCAAGCGUUAUCCGGAUUUAUUGGGUUUAAAGGGUGCGCAGGCGGACUGUUAAGUCAGCGGUGAAAUGCUCAGGCUCAACCUGGGAACUGCCGUUGAUACUGGCAGACUUGAGUACGGACGGCGCCGGCGGAAUGUGUCAUGUAGCGGUGAAAUGCUUAGAUAUGCCACAGAACACCGAUCGCGAAGGCAGCUGGCGAGGCCGGGACUGACGCUCAGGCACGAAAGCGUGGGGAGCAAACAGG
RNAcentral lists this ribosomal RNA (424 nucleotides) under uncultured prokaryote. RNAcentral's name for it is "bacterial SSU rRNA". It matches the Rfam family "Bacterial small subunit ribosomal RNA", at positions 355 to 776 of the family's 1533-position model. RNAcentral also lists the same sequence under 1 other name. The record is from RNAcentral.